Molecule: ribosomal RNA, 484 nt
Filed under: uncultured bacterium
Lineage: Bacteria
Description: partial 16S ribosomal RNA
Rfam family: Bacterial small subunit ribosomal RNA
Source: RNAcentral
AGUGAACGCUGGCGGCGUGCUUAACACAUGCAAGUCGAACGAGAACGGGCUAUAGCUUGCUAUAGUUGUCAGCUAAGUGGCGCACGGGUGAGUAAUGUAUAGGUAAUAUGCCUCUUACUAAGGGAUAACAAAUGGAAACGUUUGCUAAUACCUUAUACUCCUUAUUAACAGAAGUUAAUAAGGGAAAGAUUUAUUGGUAAGAGAUUAGCCUGUAUUGUAUCAGUUAGUUGGUGGGGUAAUGGCUUACCAAGACUAUGACACAUAACUGGUUUGAGAGGAUGAUCAGUCACACUGGAACUGAGACACGGUCCAGACUCCUACGGGAGGCAGCAGUGGGGAAUAUUGCACAAUGGACGAAAGUCUGAUGCAGCAACGCCGCGUGGAGGAUGACACAUUUCGGUGCGUAAACUCCUUUUAUAUGAGAAGAUAAUGACGGUAUUAUAUGAAUAAGCACCGGCUAACUCCGUGCCAGCAGCCGCCGCGG